RNAcentral lists this ribosomal RNA (622 nucleotides) under uncultured marine eukaryote. RNAcentral's name for it is "SSU rRNA". It matches the Rfam family "Eukaryotic small subunit ribosomal RNA", at positions 613 to 1237 of the family's 1831-position model. The record is from RNAcentral.
UUGUGGUUAAAAAGCUCGUAGUUGGAUCUCAACAGCCUUGAAGCGGUUAACUUUGUAGUUUUACUGCUUUAUAGGCUGUGCUUUUGCUGGAGGUUUAGGGGUGCUCUUGAUCGAGUGUCUCUGGAUGCCAGCAAGUUUACUUUGAAAAAAUUAGAGUGCUCAAAGCAGGCUAAAAUGCCUGAAUAUCGUGCAUGGAAUAAUAGAAUAGGAUGUCGAUCCUAUUUUGUUGGUUUUCGGGACUCGACAUAAUGAUAAAUAGGGACAGUCGGGGGCAUUUGUAUUCAAACGACAGAGGUGAAAUUCUUGGACCGUUUGAAGACAAACUACUGCGAAAGCAUUUGCCAAGAAUGUUUUCAUUAAUCAAGAACGAAAGUUAGAGGUUCGAAGGCGAUUAGAUACCGCCCUAGUUCUAACCAUAAACGAUGCCAGCUAGCGAUCUGCCUGCGUUUUUACUGUAGACUGGGCAGGAAGCUUCCGGGAAACCAAAGCAUUUGGGUUCCAGGGGAAGUAUGGUUGCAAAGCUGAAACUUAAAGGAAUUGACGGAAGGGCACCACCAGGAGUGGAGCCUGUGGCUUAAUUUGACUCAACACGGGAAAUCUCACCAGGCCCGGACACUGGAAG